Molecule: ribosomal RNA, 435 nt
Filed under: uncultured bacterium
Lineage: Bacteria
Description: bacterial SSU rRNA
Rfam family: Bacterial small subunit ribosomal RNA
Source: RNAcentral
GGCGAACGGGUGAGUAACACGUGAGUAAUCCACCCUCGGUACCGGGAUAGCCCGGGGAAACCCGGAUUAAUACCGGAUGGCCCGACAGCCUUUCGAGGCGGUCGGAAAAGGUAGCUUCGGCCUCCGACCGAGGACGAGCUCGCGGCGGAUUAGCUUGUUGGCGGGGUAACGGCCCACCAAGGCGACGAUCCGUAGCUGGUCUGAGAGGACGAUCAGCCACACUGGGACUGAGACACGGCCCAGACUCCUACGGGAGGCAGCAGUGGGGAAUCUUGCGCAAUGGGCGAAAGCCUGACGCAGCGACGCCGCGUGCGGGAAGAAGGCCUUCGGGUUGUAAACCGCUUUCAGGAGGGACGAAGCCACUCGGGUUAAUAGCCCAGAGGGUGACGGUACCUCCAGAAGAAGCCCCGGCUAACUACGUGCCAGCCGCCGCGG